RNAcentral lists this ribosomal RNA (450 nucleotides) under Streptococcus mitis. Its description in RNAcentral is "bacterial SSU rRNA". It matches the Rfam family "Bacterial small subunit ribosomal RNA", at positions 28 to 471 of the family's 1533-position model. The record is from RNAcentral. Lineage: Bacteria; Bacillati; Bacillota; Bacilli; Lactobacillales; Streptococcaceae.
GACGAACGCUGGCGGCGUGCCUAAUACAUGCAAGUAGAACGCUGAAGGAGGAGCUUGCUUCUCUGGAUGAGUUGCGAACGGGUGAGUAACGCGUAGGUAACCUGCCUGGUAGCGGGGGAUAACUAUUGGAAACGAUAGCUAAUACCGCAUAAGAGUAGAUGUUGCAUGACAUAUGCUUAAAAGGUGCAAUUGCAUCACUACCAGAUGGACCUGCGUUGUAUUAGCUAGUUGGUGAGGUAACGGCUCACCAAGGCAACGAUACAUAGCCGACCUGAGAGGGUGAUCGGCCACACUGGGACUGAGACACGGCCCAGACUCCUACGGGAGGCAGCAGUAGGGAAUCUUCGGCAAUGGACGGAAGUCUGACCGAGCAACGCCGCGUGAGUGAAGAAGGUUUUCGGAUCGUAAAGCUCUGUUGUAAGAGAAGAACUGAGUGUGAGAAGUGGAAAG